RNAcentral lists this ribosomal RNA (720 nucleotides) under Lysinibacillus sp. Its description in RNAcentral is "bacterial SSU rRNA". It matches the Rfam family "Bacterial small subunit ribosomal RNA", at positions 25 to 743 of the family's 1533-position model. The record is from RNAcentral. Lineage: Bacteria; Bacillati; Bacillota; Bacilli; Caryophanales; Bacillaceae.
GGGGAUUAAUUCCAGAGGUUAAUAUACAUGCAGUCGAGCGAACAGAGAAGGAGCUUGCUCCUUUGACGUUAGCGGCGGACGGGUGAGUAACACGUGGGCAACCUACCUUAUAGUUUGGGAUAACUCCGGGAAACCGGGGCUAAUACCGAAUAAUCUGUUCCACCUCAUGGUGGAACACUGAAAGACGGUUUCGGCUGUCGCUAUAGGAUGGGCCCGCGGCGCAUUAGCUAGUUGGUGAGGUAACGGCUCACCAAGGCGACGAUGCGUAGCCAACCUGAGAGGGUGAUCGGCCACACUGGGACUGAGACACGGCCCAGACUCCUACGGGAGGCAGCAGUAGGGAAUCUUCCACAAUGGGCGAAAGCCUGAUGGAGCAACGCCGCGUGAGUGAAGAAGGUUUUCGGAUCGUAAAACUCUGUUGUAAGGGAAGAACAAGUACAGUAGUAACUGGCUGUACCUUGACGGGUACCUUAUUAGAAAGCCACGGCUAACUACGGUGCCAGCAGCCGCGGGUAAUACGUAGGUGGCAAGCGUUGGUCCGGGAAUUAUUGGGCGUAAAGCGCCGCGCAGGCGGUCUUUUAAGUCUGAUGUGAAAGCCCACGGCUCACCGUGGAGGGUCAUGGAAACUGGGGGACUUGAGUGCGAAAGGAAGUGGAUUCCAGUGUACCGUGAAUGCCUAAAUUUGAGGACACAUGCGAAGCACUUCUGUCUUACUACCUU